Ornithorhynchus anatinus (platypus) is the source of this 93-nucleotide non-coding RNA. RefSeq annotates it as microRNA mir-551. The transcript has a single exon. NCBI's taxonomy places the organism in Eukaryota, Metazoa, Chordata, Mammalia, Monotremata, Ornithorhynchidae. The record is from RefSeq and is marked provisional.
GUGGCUCCUGUGGCCCCAGAAAUCAAGGAUGGGUGAGACCUCUUGCACAAGUGGAAGGCGACCCAUACUUGGUUUCAGGGGCUUCCGGAAUGC